This is a long non-coding RNA of Scleropages formosus (Asian bonytongue), 1242 nucleotides long. The record is from Ensembl. Lineage: Eukaryota; Metazoa; Chordata; Actinopteri; Osteoglossiformes; Osteoglossidae.
GUUUUAUUUGCUAUUCUAUUUUCUAAAAAUUCUUAGUGCCCUUUGUGAAAGCUGUCACAUCCCACGGGGUUACUGCCCCUCCUGGUCACAGGCAGCACCACUCAGUGCCGCUAGGGAACACUCACGUAUCAGCUCACAGUCUCAUAGGACACAGAGGUAUAAAAGGAGCCAGCGGAGCAGAACCGAUUGCGGAUUCUUAAUCAGCGGUUCCAUUGUGCUCUCCUGGCAAUUAGUAGUCUCUUGUUCCCUCAGUCUGUUUCCUAGGUGUUCGUGUUCCAGUCCCGAGUGCCCGUCCUGUCAGUUCCUGCCUCGUUCUCCAGUUCUGGUCCAGCGUUCCAGUCCGGUAUUUCAUCACGUCUCAGGGUUCGAGUCAUACUCACAGAGUAGCGUUUCACCGUUCACCGUAAUUCAAACACCGUGUGUGUUUCCUGGUCUCGUGUUUCCUGUUUCACUUCCACAGAGCGUCUUACAGUCUGCAGAGUGCACUUUUAACGUCACUGCAUGCGAGUUCAUUUCACGUUUCGUCCGUGUUUGGACGUAAUAGCAACGCGUGUCCAUGUCGGACUCCCGUCCGGACGCUACAGAAUCCACCUGCUAUGACUUCAGCAGAAUGGCGUGAAAUGGUAGAGCUGACAAAGAAGGCGAACCAAGAACAACUCACGGUUUGUACAAACGUCGCUCACCACAUAACGGAUCGCUUGGUGUGGUUGACAACUCAUCAGUUGACACGGGCAUGGUGCCAGUCCGACCAGUUCACAAGCGCAUUACUGGCAGGCAUGUCCUCCUGCUGCCGCCUCGUGUCCCCGCACUGAGCAUGCAGCUGCUCUAUGACAGUGAGCCAGCACAAGUACGCCACACUGUCAGCUAUGUACCGCUCGAAUAACACUGCAUCAGACAGGGAUCAAUACGACUCAGUAACGGGCGUCAGAGAGGAGGAAAGGAGGCACCGUUUUCUGCAACACUUGUGCUUUCACUGUGGAGCUACGGAUCACGUUCAGGUUUCCAGUCCAGUGCAGCCAUCCCGUGGAUCCUCACGGACCGACUUACUGCUUUCAGAAUUAAGAAGUUGGCUGAUGUCACACAGAACCAAGACAACUAAACCCAAAUGUAGAGUGGUUCACCUGGAUUCAAGGGAUCAGGCAAGUUCUUGGUUUCAGGGACAAUCAAUCAGCAGUUAGCAUUGGAAUGAAGAUCCAUGGAUAUGGUCAGGAAACAAAGCAAAACACUAAAAACCCAGAGGGC